AUGCUCAGUUUUGCGUUCCAGACGGCAGCGAUUGGGAGCGACUACUGGUACAUUAUUAAGGUCAAAAGGUGUUCUUUCACAUUUAACUCCUCCAGCUACUCUGAACCUGCGAUGCACAUGUUGAACAUGCACAGUGUGAGUGUGGUCUUGCUCCCUCUUAGCCUGGUCCUUCUACUGUUUGGAGGAAUCUGUGGCUUGAUCAGUUCCCAGCCCUGGGGCCCCGCCCUCCUCACUAGCACUGUCUCCUAUCUCUUCUUCUGCAGUAAGUGUGGCCUCCAUCAUCAUCAUUAUCUCUCGGUCUUAGGGCCCAAACACCAAGUCUUAGUUCUGCUUCUGCCAUGCCAACUCCUUGUUACUCAUUGUCAUGUUUGGCAUUACAAGAAGUUGACAUUAUGGCACACAAGUAGAUAAGGGAUAAAGGGAAGGCUACCUAACACCUACAGGCCCAAGUCCAAAAUUCACUACUAUGCAGCAUACUACCAUCCAUAUAGCCUUUUAAAGCAGCGUUAACCAACUCCAGUCCUCCACUACUCCCAACAGCCCAACUCCAGUCCCCCACUACCCCCGGUAGCCCCCCUCCAGUACCCCACUCCAGUCCCCCACUACCCCCGGUAGCCCCCCUCCAGUACCCCACUCUAGUCCCCCACUACCCCCUGGUAGCCCCCCUCCAGUACCCAACUCCAG
This 684-nucleotide long non-coding RNA is filed under the name Oncorhynchus mykiss (rainbow trout). RNAcentral describes it as "lncRNA (ENSOMYG00000057847.1)". The record is from RNAcentral. Lineage: Eukaryota; Metazoa; Chordata; Actinopteri; Salmoniformes; Salmonidae.